ACUACGGGAGGCUGCAGUGGGGAAUAUUGGGCAAUGGGCGCAAGCCUGACCCAGCAACGCCGCGUGAAGGAAGAAGGCUUUCGGGUUGUAAACUUCUUUUCUCAGGGACGAAGCAAGUGACGGUACCUGAGGAAUAAGCCACGGCUAACUACGUGCCAGCAGCCGCGGUAAUACGUAGGUGGCAAGCGUUAUCCGGAUUUACUGGGUGUAAAGGGCGUGUAGGCGGGAAAGCAAGUCAGAUGUGAAAACCAUGGGCUCAACCUGUGGCCUGCAUUUGAAACUGUUUUUCUUGAGUACUGGAGAGGCAGACGGAAUUCCUAGUGUAGCGGUGAAAUGCGUAGAUAUUAGGAGGAACACCAGUGGCGAAGGCGGUCUGCUGGACAGCAACUGACGCUGAGGCGCGAAAGCGUGGGGAGCAAACAGGAUUAGAUACCCCUGUAGUC
This 443-nucleotide ribosomal RNA is filed under the name uncultured bacterium. Its description in RNAcentral is "partial 16S ribosomal RNA". It matches the Rfam family "Bacterial small subunit ribosomal RNA", at positions 338 to 795 of the family's 1533-position model. The record is from RNAcentral.